RNAcentral lists this ribosomal RNA (253 nucleotides) under uncultured bacterium. RNAcentral describes it as "partial 16S ribosomal RNA". It matches the Rfam family "Bacterial small subunit ribosomal RNA", at positions 524 to 776 of the family's 1533-position model. The record is from RNAcentral.
GACGAGGUGGACAAACGUUAUUCGGAUUUACUGGGCUUAAAGCGUGCGUAGGCGGCUCAGAAAGUUGGGUGUGAAAGCCCUCGGCUCAACCGAGGAAUUGCGCUCAAAACUACUGAGCUUGAGUGAGAUAGGGGUGAGCGGAACUGAUGGUGGAGCGGUGAAAUGCGUUGAUAUCAUCAGGAACACCGGUGGCGAAGGCGGCUCACUGGAUCUUAUCUGACGCUGAGGCACGAAAGCUAGGGGAGCAAACGGG